UUUGGGCCCACAGAUAUCACGGACCCUGAUCCCGCCGUGUACCAACUGAAAAGCCCUAAAUCCAGUAAGACGUCUGUCUGCCUGUUCACCGAUUUUGAUUCUGAAAAAAAAAUGCCACAAUCCCAGGAGGGCACAGUAAUCAUGUCGAAUGGAACUGUGCUGGACAUGAGGGUGAUGGAUUCCAAGAGCAACGGGGUCCUGGCCUGGAGCAACAGCACGGAUUUUAAAUGCAACAGUACCUUCAACGAGAAAUUCUACUCCAGCUCAGACUUUUCCUGUAAUGCCACUUUGAUAGAGAAAAGCUUUGAAACAGAUAUGAACCUAAACGCCCACAACCUGCUAGUGAUGGGGCUGCGCGUCCUCCUCCUGAAAGUGGCCGGGUUUAACCUGUUCGUGACGCUGCGCCUGUGGUCCCGAUGAGGUCACCAGGACCGUGAGCAAGCCUGGCACUCCCUCGCUCCCGCCGCCCCGCCGCCCCACCGUGCCUCUUCCCCUCUUCAAGCAGAGGCACACUCUCAGCCCCCGUGGAGGAGAAGGCUCCCUCGGCCUCUCGGCCUCUCGGGCCCCACUGGCAACGGACACCAACCCACCAACCGGAUGCCACCAGAUAUUCGUUAUCAAGAUCUGAAGAGCCGCCAAACACUGUCUCCACCGCCUCGGUCCCUCACUGCCGGCACUCCCAGCAAAGGCAGGGGGCUGCUGGACGCCCUGCCCCUCCCCUGAGAUUGCCUCUUGCGCCUCCCCCCCAUGAGGGAUCCCCAGUGGGUCUUCCUGGGCUCUGGCUCCUGGAGAACGUUGUGAAGAGUUUAUAUUUUUUAAGUAGUGUUCAUACAGGCAUAUGUACCACCCUUCCCCCCAAGAUGUGGGCAAAUGAUUACGGAGGCCCCGCUAUGCUGUGUAUCUGAGCCCCGUUGUGUAUUCUGCUACCCGUGGCUUCAUUAAAGGCAAUUUGGAAGAGCCGG
This is a non-coding RNA of Ailuropoda melanoleuca (giant panda), 962 nucleotides long. The record is from the annotation of a RefSeq genome assembly. Lineage: Eukaryota; Metazoa; Chordata; Mammalia; Carnivora; Ursidae.